Molecule: ribosomal RNA, 494 nt
Filed under: uncultured bacterium
Lineage: Bacteria
Description: partial 16S ribosomal RNA
Rfam family: Bacterial small subunit ribosomal RNA
Source: RNAcentral
GACGAACGCUGGCGGCGUGCUUAACACAUGCAAGUCGAACGGAAAGGCCUGCUUUCCCUUGUGGAUUGCGGGUACUCGAGUGGCGAACGGGUGAGUAACACGUGAGUGAUCUGCCCCCAACUUGGGUAUAAGCCUGGGAAACUGGGUCUAAUUCCCGAUAGGACUGCAGGGUGGUGCCUGUGGUGGAAAACGAUUUUCUAGUGGUUGGGGAUGCGCUCGCGGCCUAUCAGCUUGUUGGUGGGGUAAUGGCCUACCAAGGCGGCGACGGGUAGCCGGCCUGAGAGGGUGGACGGCCACAUUGGGACUGAGAUACGGCCCAGACUCCUACGGGAGGCAGGAGUGGGGAAUAAUGCACAAUGGGCGGAAGCCUGAUGCAGCGACGCCGCGUGGGGGAUGACGGCCUUCGGGUUGUAAACUCCUUUCGACCGCGAGGAAGCCACCUGGUUGGAAGGGUGGUGACGGUAGUGGUAGAAGAAGCACCGGCUAACUACGUG